This 1160-nucleotide long non-coding RNA is filed under the name Solanum tuberosum (potato). RNAcentral describes it as "long non-coding RNA (STUB_LNC009254)". Lineage: Eukaryota; Viridiplantae; Streptophyta; Magnoliopsida; Solanales; Solanaceae. The record is from RNAcentral.
CCCCCCUCUUUUGAUCCAACAACUCAAUAAAUCUGCCGUAUACACCAAUUUAGGCUUAGGCUAGCUAAAUUGAAGAAUAAAGCCCAUACUUGUAUUGUUACAUUGCCAUGCAAAAAUAAGUGUUUGUUGGUUCCAGUGCCUCUUUGCAUAGUAAGCAUCUAGAGGCUAUGUUGAUGCCCCAGCUCCAGUCUCUUUUCUCACCCCACCCAUCUCGUUCGUUCAUCACAACUAACCCUUUUAAACUUGUUCUAUGUCAGCUAACAGUUCGAUGACUCUAUCUUCCUUUCCAUCUCUCCCAAACUUUAAGUAUUUUUAUUUAUUUAUUUUUUCAAUCUCCUCCAUCCUUUGGUGAUUGCCACACACACACACAACAAUUUUUGGUGCCAAGGUUUAAACAAUCUUUUACCUAGUUUUUUUGUUUCUUAUUCAUAUAUAUAGUUUCUUGCUUUUGUUAUCUAUUUGUUGUUUAUCAUGUUUAGGUGAUUGCACUAUUUGGUUGAUGUUAUUGUUCCUUGUAUGUAUGUUCUACACUACUUUUCAAUUAGUUGUCAUGUUUUCUUCACCAUCGUUUUUCCUUUUCAUUACUUCUUUGUUUUGUUGCACUUGAGCCGAGGGUCUUUUGGAAAGAGCCUCUCUACCUCUACGAGAUAGGGGUAACGUUCACGUACACUCUAUCCUUCCCAGAUCCCACUUUGUUCCCACACUGGGUAUGUUGUUGUUUAGUUUGGUGCACCACCUUGGUCCCCUUCGUGAACAUUUCAUCUAGUUCCUAAGCCUUUUGGGACGAUACCAGAAGUACCGGAGGGAUGUAAAUCCUUUAUUGAUAUUGGAAAUAUGACUAGUGUAAUUGGCUCUUCCUUUCUAGCCUUAUCUAAGAAUUUUGACCACCCACCCACCCUAUCUCCUUUAGAUGGGAAAUUGCCAAAGUUGUUUUUCCUGCCAUCUGCUUCAUUGGUUAUAUGAUGGAAGAAAGCAAGAGCCCUUUACCCUCCCACUCCAAUUCUGAGUCUAGACUUAAGUUCAAGCCUAUUGGUUUUUUAAAUCAUCGCCUUCUAACCCAUUUUUGGUUUUGAAAAUGGAGUUUCCGACAUCUUGAUCACCUACUCAAUGACAUUGGUUCGAUCCGAUAGUUAUUUACUGGAACAUAUAAUUUAGUAAAC